RNAcentral lists this ribosomal RNA (305 nucleotides) under uncultured bacterium. RNAcentral's name for it is "bacterial SSU rRNA". It matches the Rfam family "Bacterial small subunit ribosomal RNA", at positions 335 to 657 of the family's 1533-position model. The record is from RNAcentral.
GUUCCUACGGGGCGCAGCAGUGGGGGAUAUUGCACAAUGGGGGGAACCCUGAUGCAGCGACGCCGCGUGGGUGAAGGAGCGUUUCGGCGCGUAAAGCCCUAUCGGCAGGGAAGAAGGAGGACGGUACCUGACUAAGAAGCCCCGGCUAACUACGUGCCAGCAGCCGCGGUAAUACGUAGGGGGCAAGCGUUAUCCGGAAUGAUUGGGCGUAAAGGGUGCGUAGGCGGCCUGCUAAGUCUGGAGUGAAAGGUACCGGCUCAACCGGUAUAGGCUCUGGAAACUGGCGGGCUAGAGAGCAGGAGAGG